GCUGUGUUCACAAGAGCUCGUUUCAAGCUACUUAGCCGUUCUAACUUUCAUAAUUAAGUUUUGUGGCUAUUAGUGUUGAUUUUUACAGGAUCACCUAUUCACCCCCUCUAGGUGCUCUCAAUACUCUCCCUGUCAGUAGACCCGUAUGGUCAUACGACCAUUGAGUGCGUCACUGUCGCUCGUGGCCCACAAGUCAGACCCUCCUUCUAGCAGAGCGGUUACAACCAAUUCCCCGAGCGCGGCGCGUUGGUGCUCCAUCUGGAGAUUCUGGCUCCGUGUUGCCCACCUCGUGCGGAGUCAGGCUCUGUGGACUAUACAAGCCCAUCACCUGCACACUUCUUUCUUCCCCAACCAUAGGCCUAAACAAAAACAGCUCUGCCGAGAACUGUCCGUCAGCAGGAGGGAGAGAACCAACCCGCGGUGGCGGAAUCUCGUGUUAGCGGGCCGAUAAUCCGUCGGAAGCGCGAGUGUCCCGAUUGUGUGUGAGUCUUCAGUGGGGAAAAUUUUGAUUCGUGCGCGGGCGUCAAUUGCUCACCGUACACCAACUCGUGCUGCGACUGCUGGAAUUGGAAUCACUACGCCAAUCGGUCAGAAACCUCUAUUUCCUUGACUAACCACUUUCCCUUUGUGCACCGUCUCAUGGCGUACGAGUUUCGGGGAAAUCCGGGUUCUGACAAUCGUUCCUCGGCUUGGGGGCCGUCAAGAAAUCAACUGGCACCGUGGCCAGACCGGCGUGUUGUUCCUUUUAGUGAUUAGAGGCCACCACCGAGUUCGGUGUGAACUUCGCGUUGCGUGGCCAUAGAUGACGGUAGAAUUAGGGCAUAGAACCGCGCUGCGACGCUACGCUGGUGAGAGCGUCGCCACAUUUCAUGUGCGCGCUGUCCGAGGCGACGGCGUGGGGAACGGGAUAAGCUCCGUGGCGUUGAUCUUUGCAGCAACGACCCAGAUCGACCGGGUGAAUAGCUACCUCAGAGUUUUUAUUUGGACCGUCGGAUUUAGGCGGUGCAGUCAUGAUUGGACCACGACGUGGAUGCCGCUUGAAUCGUAGAUCUCAAAUACAUGGACCACCAUCGUGUGCGAUCCAGAACUAAUUUGAUCCAUUGGAUUAGGAUCAGGCGACCCUGAGUGGUCGAUACCCCUUCGGCGCAGGCGUUUUACAAAAGAGACCUUGAAAUUUUAGGAAAACAACCUGCGAUCCUUUGUAACGUUAGAAUAAUUACCGAGGGGUCCUAAACUUUAUGGUUUCGCCCAUGUGCUUCUCAAAAAUGGUGUGCGCAGUCCAGGAAGCAAUUAAAUUAAAUAGAUUAAGAAAGAAAACAAUUUCUUGUACCAAAAUAAUUCUAGAACUUAAUUAAUUCAUAGAAAAUUUAUUUUUAUUCCUUUUUAACCCAUUCCAGUUGCAAUAAUUUUGUAUUAAUAUUGUGUAUCACCUGGUAACUCUGUUUAGUCUUGAGACCCAGGUUAAAUUUAUUCAUUUGGUUUAAUUUUGUCGGCGUUUCGACCCCGGGGUCCUUCGACCGACGAGUAAAUUGUCGCUGCGUGUCCCAGCCUAGAUGGGUCGGCGCGAGACGGAACACAAGGGGGAAAACAGUAAGGGGAAACCGCGACCUCGUGUUGUCCUGCGCCCAGGGCGGAUGCGCUUGCAGUAGGGGGUUACAAGCGUUCGCGAGGGAGAGAGAGAGAGAGAGCGAGAGCCUUGUGCGUCGACCCGUCCUCCCGCGCGGCCACCUUCUCGUAUGAGGGCCCUGGACCUUCCUUUUAUAGAUGUAAGGAGAGGGUCCAGGUGUACAACGGGGAGCGUAGCAAUGUGCUAACGUGUCUAGCGGGGAGGAGCCAGAGCCCUGUAUACAUGCCGUCGUGGCUAUUGGAGAGGUGUUGCUGCCCUGUUCAUGUGAUGUCGUGGCCGUCGGAGGAGUGCUUGAGCUCUGUGGAAGCACAGCUAUCGGGGCUGUCGGAUCCUUGUUGACGUCUCCUUGCUUCCGUAAGGGGCUGAGAACCGCCGUCGUCAUGGAGCACGCAGGGUGCCAUCAUUACUUGUUUUACCGGGGCGAGCCAGAUGGGACGCCGGUCUUGUUCCCCGUAGCCUGAGCUAGCUAGGGGUAGGGUAAUGAUGACCCCUCCUGUGACGUGGUCGGUCCGAGCCCAAGGUCAGGCGAGGCGGUGACUCCUCCGAGGUCGAGGCUGAGUCUGAGCCCUGGGGUCGGGCGAGGCGGAGACCGUCUUCCGAAGUCGAUGUUGAGUCCGAGCCCUGGGGUCGGGCGAGGCGGAGACCGUCUUCAGGAGUCGAGGUUGAGUCCGAGCCCUGGGGUUGGGCGAGGCGGAGACCGUCUUCCGGAGUCGAGGUUGAGUCCGAGCCCUGGGGUCGGGCGAGGCGGAGACCGUCUUCCGGAGUCGAGGUUGAGUCCGAGCCCUGGGGUCGGGCGAGGCGGAGACCGUCUUCCGGAGUCGAGGUUGAGUCCGAGCCCUGGGGUCGGGCGAGGCGGAGCUUCCUAUGGCGCCCGAGGCUAGACUUGGCUGCUGUCAGCCUCACCCUGACGGGUGGCACAGCAAUCGGAGUAGGGCAGGCGACGCUGUUUUCCUGUCAGGUCGGUCAGUGGAGCGGCGAAGUGACUGCGGUCACUUCGGCCCUACCGACUAAGGACCGCGUGUCAGGAUAAGGUGUCAGACAAUCCUUGCAUUGAAUGCUCCCGCGAUACGGUCGGUUGGCGUGGCGAUCUGGCCAAGGCUGCUUCUCCGCGAAGCCUGCCCGAGCUGGGCCUCGGGCGAGUCGAAGGUGCGCCCGUUGCUUGAGGAGACCCUCGGGCGAGACGUGAAUCCUCCUGGGUCGGCUAUCUUUGCCUGAGGCUGGGCUCGGGCGAGGCGAGAUCGUGUCCCUUGAGUGGACGGAGCCUUGACCUGAAUUGCGCCCAUCAGGCCUUUGCAGCUUUGUGCUGAUGGGGGUUACCAGCUGAGAUUAGGAGUCUUGGGGGUACCCUUAAUUAUGGUCCCCGACAGUAGCCCCCGAGCCUCGAAGGGAGUGUCGAUACUCGCUUGGAGGCUUUUGUCGCACUUUUUUGCAAGGGGACCGACCUCUCUCGGUUGCAGUUCGUUCUGGUGGGUGCGCGCGAGCGCACCCGCCGGGUGUAGCCCCCGAGGCCUCGGAGGAGUGGUUUGACUCCUUCGAGAUCUUAAUGCCUUUCGUGAUGCCUUGGCCGGUCUGGUUGUUCCCUCAUGCGAACUGGUCGUUGCCCGGGUGCAUAGUCAGGUUCCGAGUUCUCGGGCUGGUAUGUUGACGCUGUCAACGUUUUGGCCGGAGCCGGGUUUGCGAGAGCAGCCCCCGAGCCUCCGCACAGAGCGAGAGGACGGUCAAGGACUGACUCGGCUUUUUGCAUACGCCCCUUCGUCGCCUUUCCGCAAUGAGGAGGGGGGAAAGCGCCAUGCUGCCCUCGGAGGGCACCGAACAUGGUGUCUCCAGUGAGUUGCUAACGGGUGAUCCGAGUGGACGCCCGUGCCCCGUUCGAUAAGGGUCGGCUAGUGGCCCAGAGGCGCGCUCCAAAAGUACCUGCAGGUGAUUUGCCGGACCCGGUCCCGUUUGAUAGGGUCCGAGGGCUCGAUGCCUCCCUCUGAUGGGAUUCCAUUACAGAAUCGCUCCUGCUGGUCUCGGAAAUGUCCUAGGGUACCUCGGGAGCGUAGCCCGAGCCUCGGCCAUGUAUCGGACGUACUCAGAGUCAUCCCUCGCUCUGCGUGCUCUGAGGCGGCUGUCAAACCCUUCGGGGGCCAGCAUACGAACCUCUGAUCAGUAGUGGGCACGGAGCCCGAGUGGUCUGAGGUGGCUGUCGAACCCUUCCAAGGGGCCAGCCUUCGAACCUCUGACCAGUAGUGGGCGCGGAGCCCGAGUGCUCUGAGGCGGCUGUCAAACCCUUCCGAGGGGCCAGCCUUCGAACCUCUGAUCAGUAGGGGGGGCCCGGGGCCCGCUUCCUUCGCGGAGAAGGAUCCCUUUCGGAGUAUCCCCUUUCCCGGUCCCUGUAGCAAGAGAGAGAAAGGGGAAGAGAAAAAGGGAUAUGAAAUUGAACGACGUGGCAUACCUUUUUUUUUGACGCGGUCAUCAUGGCGGAGGUGAAGCGUCGCCUGCUUCGCCUGCCAAAGGUACCGCCUGCCCUGCCGCAGAGUUAAUGCGAUGGGACGAGUGUUUCGCGGGGCAGCUGUUGUGCGAGCCAUUCGAGGAACGGUCGUUUCGCCAUCGAGUUUUGGAUUUCGCGGUGGGUUCGGGCGGAGUGUUGAACGGGUCUCGCCCGGGCCUUUAUAUAUUCGGAAGAGGGACCGGUGGUGGUUCUUUACUCUGCUGCUCGCCUCCCGCUUAGGUUUCCGCAACCUGAGGGAAUAGCUAGAGAAAGAAAACCGCGCACCUUGUCCGCUCCGCCGCCACCUCCUUCGCUUGGUGAUGGCCGACCGGGUAACCGUCGUUCCGCCGCGCGACCUGUGACCUUUCUCCACUGUCACGGCGGACGAUCUGGAGGCCCUUGUUGCCGAUGGUUUGCUUCGUCCCCUCUCCAGUGACCCGCAGCCUGAGUGGAUGGCCCCUCCGAGCGGAGCCGCCCCGUCCCCGCCGUCGGGGUAUGUGCUGAGUUUCGCCUCUUUCCAUGAGCGAGGGUUCGGAGUGCCAGCAAGUCGCUUCAUGCGGGCGAUUCUGCAUUUCUACAGGGUGGAGCUGCACAAUCUCAGCCCCAACUCCAUCGUGCAAGCAGCCAUCUUCGCGGCGGUUUGCGAAGGGUUUUUGGGGAUUGACCCCCACUGGGAUCUGUGGACCCAUCUCUUCUCCAUGGAGCCUUUUGCCUUGACGACGGGGGAAAGGAGAGUUCACAUGGUGGUGCGGGCCGGCGGCUGCAUCCUCCAGUUGAGGCAGGCGCAUGCGCAACAGUACAUCCCUGCCAUCCUUGUGUCUUUGAACAAGGGGUGGCAGCGUCGGUGGUUUUACCUUCGGAACGACGAUGGGAGGCUCCCGUCGUUUUCUCAACGAGUGGUGACCGCCGCCGGCAGCAACUGGCGCUAUGGGGCCCCGCGCGAUAGACAGAAGAAUCUCCAGCCUCUUCUGGAGGCCUUGCAGGAGUUGCGAGACGGAGGGCUUACCGCCACGGGGGUGGUCGCCGCCAUCCAUCGCCGGAGGGUGCUCCCCUUGACGGAGCGGCGGCUGCUCCUUUCGGAGAUGACGCCGAGGGUCGGCUUGGAGGGUUCGCAUAUGUCCUCGGUCCCCCUCCCCGCUGAUGACCUCCACAGGCGGGUAGCCGGCACGGUAGGAAAGCUGGACGCCGGUGCUCUUACCCAGCCCUCGAUGCAUCCCGAGCGCGGGUGCAUAUCCCUAGUGAGUGUCCGCUCCUUCUUCCUUCUUGUGUCAGAUUGCCCUUGGUUCUCACAGCCGAGAUUUCUGUCCGUCUCCAAGAGUUGGGGUUUCACAAACCUUUUCUGCCACCGGUCCCGGAGGACGCGGUGGACCGAGCCGCGCGGAGGGUUGCUACGGAGAAGAAGAAGUAUAAGAAGGACGCAAAAAAGGCUCGGGCCCGCGAGCGGAUGCAGGCUCGGGACGCCUUGGAGAGGCGUCGUCGGAAGCAGGAGAGGGACGGGCUCCCAAGGGAGCCGUCGCUGGAGACGCCUGACGACGACGACGAUGACGACGAGGACGACGACAUGGUGGCCCGCCUCGGCCUCAGCCCAGAUCUGCGGCUGGGCCCGGGUUCGUCGAGCCAGCCCCCAAGUGGGCUGGCGCCGUCAGUAUCCAGGGUCGGGGCAUCAGGGUCCCGAUCCGAAGAACAGGGGCAGGCCGAGGGGGUACUUGACCCCUUGGCCGAGGUGGUUGAGGUGACCCCGGGGAGUCAGGCCGACCCGCCUGUCCCUGAAGAGCCAUUGCCCGUGCCGACAGCACAGGAGGCUGAUCCUCAGGUCGCCGUGUCUGCGCCUGGGCGGACGGUCCCUUCGACGCCCCGGGCGCCCGAGGCAGGGAUGGUGCCGAAGCCGGCAGCGGGGCAAACCUUGGUGGUGCCCGUGGGGACCGAGGCUCGAGGGGCCUCCCCACAGGCACGAUUGGUCGUGGCCCGGAGUGGGUGAGUAUAUGAGGAUACAUCUGUCCUGGUUCGUUCUUCGUAUGUCUUGAUCCUGCCUUUCCUUUUCCUCCCAGAAAACGGAGGUACGGCUCGACCGGCCUGGCUCCCCGGAAGGUCCUCAAGACGGCGUCGGCUUCCGCAGCCAGUGCCGCACCGGGCCUCGCCGGCCGGCUGACCUCCUCACAAGAUGCCCCAAAGCGGGGGGCUCAGGCGGCGCGAGUUGCCGUGGGGUGGGCUCCUCAGGCUGACCCCUCUGCUGAGGCGGCCGUCGUGCCGGGGGAGAUUACUGGCGCGGCCGCGACCUUCACACCACCUGACGUGUUGCCGACGCCAGCACCAGCCUUGGCAGAGGCUGUUGCCGUUCUGCCCGUGGGGCCAUCCGUCGCCGCCAAUGCUGAGAUGGCUGUGGCGCUGCUACCCGAGGCCGGUGAUCGGAGGCCUGCCCCCUUAGUCGAGGAGGUACUUGAUGUGCCGACCGCAGGGGGUGCCGACGCCUUGGAGAAGGGGGGCGUAGAACCGCGGCCCGUCCUGGGGAGCAGCGACCUCAUCCUCGCGCGGCGAGGUCCCAAUGAACGGCGUGGGGAGAGGCUCCGGUUUUGGACCCGUGGUGCCUCGAAACCCCUCUUUGUUCUUGACGAUGAGCGAGAGGAGCAGGCUUGGGACGAGCUUCGUGAGUGUGCCGAGGCAAUGGUGGGGUCGCUUCGGUCGACCUUGGAGGUCCUUUCUAGGGACGUUCCCAGGAUCCUCCAGGUAAGGAUUCCAGGCAUACCUUUCAUGUGAUCAAGGCAUUCUUUGUGAUGCCCUGCUUCCCUUCCUCAGGAUCUGACGGAUCUGAGCACCGCCAAGUCGUCGUUUAUCCGCCGCGAGGCCGACGUCUGGGGUUCGCUGCGGUUCUUGAGGACCACGCUUGCCGAGGCCACCGAGCGCCUCUCCCAACGGAGUGCCAAGGCGGUGGACCUUCGGUUGCUCUGUGACGAGCUGGGGGCAGAGGCAGCGGCGGUGCGCGCAGAGGCGCAGCGGCGACAGUUGGAGCUUGGCCAGGUCAUCGGUGAGCGGGACCAAUCUCGGGGCCGGGCCGCCAAGGCUGAAAGUCGGGCUGAGGCCCUUAGAGGCCAGCUAGCGAGGCGUCUGCUCGGGCCGGAGCCCUUGCGGCGGACCUGGCCGUGGCCGUCGGGUCUGCUCAGUCCGCCCAAGCCGCAGCCUCGGAGCAGCGUGCCCGGGCCGAAGGUAUGUCUUGGCUGUUUUGAGAUUUUGAUUCAGCUUCAUUCUUCAGCUCAUGUUUGAAGACUUCUGUUUUGGCUGUUUGCAGAGCUCGAGUCUGCCCUCAACGAGUCCGCCAAGGCACUUGCCCAGGCGGCUGAGCAGAAGGAGGCCGACCGCGUGGCCAUGUCCGAGGCUGUCUCGGCCUUCUGCCAGAUCUUUGGUCUUGACGACGUCCCCUCGGGGAGCUCCCCCCAGAGUCGCCUGCAGGCCUUGGGUGACCACGCGCGCGGCAGACUCCGCGAGGCGCUGCGUCACGGCGUUAGGCGGGCCUUCGCCGUGCUCGCUUCCCACUACGAUAUGGAUCUGGAGCGGGUCAGCGAGGCCGACGAAGAUGAAGCUGCCCUGGCCGAAGUUCAGAGGCUUGAUGCGGCCGCUGCGGGCCCAAGCGUGGUGUUGGCGUCCACUUUCAAGGCGGAGAUCCUUCUGCUUGCGCCGCCGUCCGAGGGCGAGGCGGAUCUCGCCGAGGGUGGAAACGAAGCCGAGGGUGCAACUCCUCCCCUAGGCGAUGCCUGAUUCUGCCGGAGCAGUUUAUUUUGAAUAUGUAUGUGUCUUUCGCGGCCGUCGAGGCCUGAACACUUUGUCGUCGGGAUAUAAAGUUGUGUCUCUUUUCCUCCUGUUUCGCGUAUCCGGACUUGUUCGUCAGUAGCAGGAUCGCUUACCCAAGUAAGAGUUAUUUUUCGUGGUAGGUGACGAGUGAGGUAUCUGUAUCAUGGAGGUGUAGGAGUCCCUCGGCUCGGUCGGCCUUGCCACUUACAUGCACUCUUAUUCGUUUCUCGGGGUUCUGUUACUGAUAUAGCCGGGAAACACGAAAGUCGCUUUGGUGGAAGACUUUUUUCGAGGAAAAUUUUGACGCAGAGGGGGUUCCCCCCUUCUAGCCCCCAAGGGAGGGUCGGGCUUUGCCGAGGCAAGGCUGACCAUUCCUUGAUGAUUAGACUUUAUUUGCGUAUGUAAAUGAGGUAUCUGAACGACUCGAAAACAUCUUAAGGGUAGAAGCGACGUAGCUGUCGGAUGUUCCAAGCGUUGCUGUAGACCUCGCCUUGACUGUUGGCCAGCUUGUAUGUUACGGGCUUCAAAAUCUUAGCGAUGAUGAACGACCCUUCCUAGGGAGGUGUGAGCUUGUGGCGCCCUCGGGCGUCUUGUCAUAGCCGAAGCACCAAGUCCCCCACCUGGAGGUCUCGGGACCGGACCCCUCGGGCGUGGUAGCGUCGCAGGGACUGCUGAUACCUUGCCGAGUGUAGUAAGGCCAUGUCCCGAGCCUCUUCCAGCUGGUCCAGUGAGUCUUCUUGGUUGGUCCGGUUGCUUCGGUCGUUGUACGCCCUCGUCCUCGGGGAUCCGUAUUCUAAGUCUGUGGGCAAGACAGCCUCGACCCCAUAGACUAGAAAGAACAGCGUGAAGCCCGUGGCUCGGCUUGGCGUCGUUCUCAGACUCCAGACCACCGAGGGGAGUUCCUUCAUCCAUCGCCUGCCAAAUUUGUUGAGGUCGUUGUAGAUUCUUGGCUUGAGUCCUUGCAGAAUCAUGUUGUUGGCACGCUCUACCUGCCCAUUCGUCAUGGGGUGAGCUACGACGGCCCAGUCCACCCGGAUGUGGUGGUCCUCGCAGAAGUCCAGGAACUUUCUGCCAGUGAACUGGGUGCCGUUGUCGGUGAUGAUGGAGAUCGGGACCCCAAAGCGAUGGAUGAUGUUGGUGAAGAAUGCCACCGCAUGUUCGGACCUGAUGCUGUUUAGGGGUCGGACCUCAAUCCACUUAGAGAAUUUGUCGAUGGCGACCAGCAGGUGCGUGUAGCCCCCGGGUGCCUUCUGCAAGGGACCGACAAGGUCCAGACCCCACACAGCAAACGACCAGGUGAUGGGUAUUGUUUGCAAGGCCUGAGCGAGCAGGUGCGUCUGCCUUGCGUAGAAUUGACACCCUUGGCAGGUGCGUACAAUCCUAGUGGCAUCGGCCACCGCGGUUGGCCAGUAGAAAACCUGUCGGAAGGCAUUUCCAACAAGGGCUCGAGGCACUGCGUGAUGACCGCAAGCCCCCGAGUGUAUUUCUUGUAUUAGUUCCUGACCUUCGGUGAUGGAUAUGCAUCGCUGGAGGAUGCCUAAGGGGCUGCGGUGGUAGAGCUCCUUUCCGUCACCCAGCAAGACGAACGACUUGGCGCGCCGCGCCAGUCGCCGAGCUUCGGUUCUGUCGAGGGGUACGGGGUCUGCCAGUUUCCAUUAGGCAGGACCCCAUUCCGCUCUUCCUCGACGCGCAGUGCCUCACCCUCGGGGGUCGAGGGUGCCUCGGGCUGGGCCGAGACCUUCUCGGGCUCGGGCGUGUCGUCGGUCUUUACUGAGGGUUGAUGUAGGUCUCGGGAGAAGACGUCCGGAGGAACCGUUGUCCGCCCCAAGGCUAUCUUAGCUAGCUCGUUCACAGUCUCGUUGUAUCGUCGGGCGAUGUGGUUGAGCUCGAGCCCGUAGAACUUGUCCUCUAGGCGUCGAACCUCAUUGCAGUAGGCUUCCAUCUUCGGGUCGCGGCAGUGGGAGUUCUUCAUGACUUGGUCGAUGACAAGCUACGAGUCGCCACGAGCGUCGAGGCGCCGGACUCCUAGCUCGAUGGCGAUGCGCAACCCGUUAACCAGAGCCUCGUACUCGGCCACAUUGUUGGACGCUGGGAAAUGGAGGCGCAACACGUAGCGGAGGUGCUUUCCGAGGGGUGAGAUGAAGAGUAGGCUCGCGCCCGCUCCUGUUUUCAUCAACGACCCGUCGAAAAACAUGGUCCAGAGUUCCGGUUGGAUUGGAGCUGCUGGAAGCUGGGUGUCGACCCAUUCAGCCAUAAAGUCCGCCAGGACUUGGGACUUGAUGGCCUUCCGAGGGGCGAACAAGAUUGUCUCGCCCAUGAUCUCCACCGCCCACUUUGCAAUCCUGCCCGAGGCCUCUCGGCACUGGAUGAUCUCCCCCAGGGGGAAGGAUGACACCACAGUCACCGGAUGAGAAUCGAAGUAGUGUCACAACUUUCGCCGCGUCAGGAUUACCGUGUACAGUAGCUUCUGGAUUUGCGGGUAGCAGAUUUUGGUCUCGGACAGUACUUCACUAAUGAAGUAGACUGGCCUCUGGACGGGCAAUGCGUGCCCUUCUUCUCAUCUCUCGACCACGAUCGCGGCGCUGACCACCUGAGUGGUAGCGGCGACAUAGAUCAAGAGGGCUUCUCCGGCAGCGGGGGGCACCAAGAUGGGCGCGCUUGUAAGGAGCGCCUUUAGGUUCCCGAGGGCUUCCUCGGCCUCGGGGGUCCAAGUGAAGCGCUCGGUCUUCCUUAAGAGGCGGUACAGAGGUAGGCCUCUUUCGCCGAGGCGCGAGAUGAAACGGCUCAGAGCCGCAAGGCAUCCCAUGACCCUAUGUACUCCUUUCAAGUCCUUGAUGGGGCCCAUGUUGGUGAUGGCUGCAAUUUUCUCCGGGUUGGCCUCGAUGCCCCGCUCGGAGACGAUGAACCCCAGGAGCAUGCCUCGGGGGACUCCGAAGACACACUUCUCGGGCUUGAGUUUUACGCCUUUCACCUUGAGACACUUGAAUGUCGUUUCGAGGUCGGAGAGGAGGUCGGAGGCUUUCCUUGUCUUGACUACGAUGUCAUCGACGUAAGCCUCGACCGUUCGACCAAUGUGCUCUCCGAACACGUGGUUCAUGCACCUUUGGUAUGUCACGCCUGCAUUCCUCAAACCGAAUGGCAUAGUAAUAUAACAGUCAAUGCCAAAGGGCGUGAUGAAAGAAGUCGCGAGCUAGUCGGACUCUUUCAUCCUGAUUUGGUGAUACCCUGAGUAGGCAUCAAGGAAUGACAAGGUUUCGCACCCAGCAGUGGAAUCCAUGAUUUGAUCGAUGCGAGGCAGAGGGUAGGGAACCUUCGGACAUGCUUUGUUUAGACUAGUGUAGUAUACACACAUCCGCCAUUUCCCACCUUUAUUUUUCACAAGCACAGGGUUGGCUAGCCAUUCGGGAUGGAAUACCUCUUUGAUGAACCCUACAGCCAUCAGCUUGUGGAUCUCCUCGCCUAUGGCUCUGUGCUUUUCUUCGUCGAAUCGGCGCAGAGGCUGCUUCACGGGUCGGGCUCCAACUUGGAUAUCCAGCGAGUGCUCGGCGACAUCCCUCGGUAUGCCAGGCAUGUCCGAGGGACUCCACGCAAAAACUUUGGUGUUUGCGCGGAGAAAGUCGACGAGCACUGCUUCCUAUUUGGGGUCGAGCUCGGAGCCGAUCCGGACUUGCUUGGAGGCGUCGUCGCUGGGGUCGAGAGGGACGGACUUAACCGUCUCAGCUGGCUCGAAGUUGCCAGCGUGGCGCUUCGCAUCUGGCGCCUCCUUGGAGAGGCUCUCCAGGUCAGCGAUGAGGGCCUCGGAUUCGACGAGGGCCUCGGCGUACUCCACGCACUCCACGUCGCAUUCGUACGCGUGUCGGUACGUGGAGCCGACGGUGAUGACCCCAUUGGGGCCCGACAUCUUGAGCUUGAGGUAGGUGUAGUUGGGGACGGCCAUGAACUUGGCGUAGCAUGGUCUCCCCAACACUGCGUGGUAGGUUCCUCGAAACCUGACCACCUCGAACGUGAGGGUUUCCUUUCGGAAGUUGGAGGGAGUCCCGAAGCAGACGGGCAGAUCGAGUUGCCCAAGGGGCUGGACGCGCUUCCCGGGGAUGAUCCCGUGAAAGGGCGCCGCGCCGGCCCGGAUCAUGGAUAGAUCGAUCUACAGGAGCCCCAGGGUCUCGGCGUAGAUGAUGUUGAGGCUGCUGCCUCCGUCAAUGAGGACCUUGGUAAGCCUGACGUUGCCGAUGACGGGAUUGACAACGAGCGGGUACUUCCCCGGGCUCGGCACGCGGUCGGGGUGGUCACCUUGGUCGAAGGUGAUGGGCUUGUCAGACCAGUCUAGGUAGACUGGUGUCGCCACCUUCACCGAGCAGACCUCCCGGCGCUCUUGCUUGCGGUGCCGAGCCGAGGCGUUCGCCACUUGUCCACUAUAGAUCAUGAAGCAAUCGUGGACCUCGGGGAACUCCUCUGCCUUGUGACCCUCCUUCUUGUCGUUGUCGGGGGCUCUGCCUCCUUCGCUGGUGGCCCGGCCUUGUGGAAGUAGCGCCGAAGCAUGACGCACUCUUCAAGGGUGUGCUUGAUGGGACCCUGAUGAUAGGGGCAUGACUCCUUGAGCAUCUUGUCGAACAGGUUGGAGCCUCAAGGAGGCUUCACAGGGUUCCUGUGCUCGGUGGCGGCGACAAGGUCUGCGUCGGCGGCGUCGCGUUUCGCUUGCGACUUCUUCUUGCCCUUCUUCUUGGUGCCGCGCUGAGCGGACGCCUCGGGGACUUCUUCCGGCUGGCGCCCCUGAGGCUGCUUGUCCUUCCGGAAGAUGGCCUCGACUGCCUCCUGGCCGGAGGCGAACUUGGUGGCGAUGUCCAUCAGCUCGCUUGCCCUGGUGGGGGUCUUGCGACCCAGCUUGCUCACCAGGUCGCGACAAGUGGUGACGGCGAGGAACGCGCCGAUGACAUCUGAGUCGGUGAUGUUGGGCAGCUUGGUGCGCUGCUUCGAAAAUCGCCGGAUGUAGUCCCGGAUGGAUUCUCCUGGCUGCUGGCGGCAGCUUCGGAGUUCCCAGGGCGCACGUAUGUGCCCUGGAAGUUGCCGGCGAAGGCUUUGACUAGGUCAUCCCAGUUGGAGAUCUGCGCAGGAGGUAGAUGCUCCAGCCAAGCUCGGGCGGCAUCGGAGAAGAACAGGGGGAGGUUGCGGAUGAUGAGGUUGUCAUCGUCCAUUCCACCCAGCUGGCAGGCCAGCCGGUAGUCCGCGAGCCACAGUUCCGGCCUUGUCUCCCCGAGUACUUGGUGAUGGUAGUCGGGGUUCGGAACCAGGUCGGGAACGGCGCCCGUCGUAUGGCCCGGCUGAAAGCUUGCGGACAGUGUGGUUCUGGCGAGGGGCUCCGAUCCUCCCCGCUGUCGUAGCGUCCCCCAUGCCUAGGGUGGUAGCCUCGGUGCACCUUCUCGUCGAGGUGGGCUCGACGGUCGUGGUGGUGGUGCUCGUUGCCGAGGCGUCCCGGGGCCGCAGGCGCUGUGUCCCGCGUGCGCCCGGUGUGGACCGAGGCUUCCCGCAUGAAUCGGGAAGUCGCGGCGCGAUGCUCCGGGGGGUACCCUUGCCUUCGGGAGGCAGAGCUUUCGGCCCGUCGGACCGCGGCAUCCUCCAGGAGAUUCUUGAGCUCUCCCUGGAUACGCCGCCCCUUGGUGGUGGAUGGUUCCGGCAUCGCUCGGAGUAGUAUUGCUGCUGCAGCCAGGUUCUGGCCGACCCCACUGGAAGCUGGGGCAGCCUUCCCCUGGCAUCGUCGGCGAUGCGGUGUGGACGUCCUGGGCCAGAUGACGCGCUUCUCCGGACGAUGCUUGGCCUGCCCACUCCUGCCCGAUAUUUUGCCGAAGCUGCACAAGUUGUCCUGCUUCCUCGUCGAGCCUGGCCUGCAUCUCGCGGAUUUGCUCGAGCUGUGCGUCCUGACCCCCCGCAGGGACUGGGACCACAGCUAGCUCCCGAAGGAUGUCAACGCGAGGCGCAGGCCUAGGGGGAUCGCCAUCCUCCGGCAUACCAAGAUGGUUGCCUUCGUCGAGACCCCAUAGAUCGACGUGGAAACAUUCGCGACUUGGGCCACAUUCCUCGUCGCCGAGGCUGUGGCUACUAUCGGAGCAAUCGGAGAGGCAGUAGUCACAUGCGGUCAUGAAGUCCCGCAUGGCACUGGGGUUAUCGAGCCCGGAGAAAUCCCAACCAGAGUCGGGCUCGUCAUCUUCCUCGGAACCCGGGGGCCUGUAGGUCGAGACGGCCGUCAGCCGGUCCCAGGUUGACCACAUAUGAUACCCCGGAAGGUUCAGAUAUGCCUUUAUGAAAGCAUCCACCGAAGUGGGGUCGCUUGGUGGGUCGAAGUUGAAUCUAAAAGGCACAGGAUGAAAAACGGACGGUACUUCUUGAUCGACGGAUGGUGACGAAGCCGUGUCGGGGACGGACUGCACUGUCAUCUCAGGUAUGAGGCUAGCGCCCAGCAAGUCCUUCGCGAGCGUGUUGGCGUCGUCCGUCUGCUUGGGGUUGGCGUGUUGCGGGGAAACGACGCUCGUCUUCGUCUCAGACGCGAGGUCAACACCCGACGUGUCCCCCGUUGGGGCGUCGGCGUCGUCGACUCGCUCGACAGCCGACGAGGUGCCGCCUCCUGCUUGGCCAUGCCUGCCCCGCCUCCUCCUCCGUCGGCGGGGAAGGUGAUGGGACAGACCCGGAUGUUGCUCUUCUGCCACGCGGGGAAGACGUCGUCGAUUCCGCCGCCGGCGGGCGGGCUGACGGCCGCCAUUGUCGUUGUCGUGCGGCGGAGGAAGGAGUAUCAUGUCGUAGCUGCCGUCGAGGGACAUGAACUCAAAACUCCCGAAACGGAGCAUCGUCUCGGGCUGGAGAGGUCGUUGGAGACUACCCAUCUGGAGCUUGAUGGGAAGCUAUUCGUCAACACGCAACAGGCCCCUACCUGGCGCGCCAACUGUCGGCGUUUCGACCCCGGGGGGUCCCUGGACCGACGAGUAAAUUGUCGCUGCGUGUCCCAGCCUAGAUGGGUCGGCGCGAGGCGGAACACAAGGGGGAAAACAGUAAGGGGAAACCGUGGCCUCGUGUUGUCCUGCGCCCAGGGCGGAUGCGCUUGCAGUAGGGGGUUACAAGCGUUCGCGAGAGAGAGAGAGAGCGAGAGCCUUGUGCGUCGGCCCGUCCUCCCGCGCGGCCACCUUCUCAUAUGAGGGCCCUGGACAUUCCUUUUAUAGAUGUAAGGAGAGGGUCCAGGUGUACAACAGGGAGCAUAGCAAUGUGCUAACGUGUCUAGCGGGGAGGAGCCAGAGCCCUGUGUACAUGCCGUCGUGGCUGUUGGAGAGGUGUUGCUGCCAUGUUCAUGUGAUGUCGUGGCCGUCGGAGGAGUGCUUCAGCUCUGUGGAAGCACAACUGUCAGGGCUGUCGGAUCCUUGCUGACGUCUCCUUGCUUCCGUAAGGGGCUGAGAACCGCCGUCGUCAUGGAGAACGCGGGGUGCCAUCAUUACUUGUUUUACCGGGGCGAGCCAGAUGAGACGUCGGUCUUGUUCCCCAUAGUCUGAGCUAGCUAGGGGUAGGGUAGUGAUGGCCCCUCCUGUGACGUGGUUGGUCCGAGCCCGAGGUCGGGUGAGACGGUGACUCCUUCGAGGUCGAGGCUGAGUCCGAGCCCUGGGGUCGGGCGAGGCGGAGACCGUCUUCCGAAGUCGAGGUUGAGUCUGAGCCCUGGGGUCGGGCGAGGCGGAGACCGUCUUCCGGAGUCGAGGUUGAGUCCGAGCCCUGGGUCGGGCGAGGCGGAGACCGUCUUCCAGAGUCGAGGUUGAGUCCUAGCCCUGGGGUCGGGCGAGGCGGAGACCGUCUUCCGAAGUCGAGGUUGAGUCCGAGCCCUGGGGUCGGGCGAGGCGGAGCUUCCAAUGACGCCCGAGGCUGGACUUGGCUGCUGUCAGCCUCACCCUGGCGGGUGGCACAACAGUCGGAGCAGGGCAGGCGGCGCAGUUUUCCUGUCAGCUCGGUCAGUGGAGCGGCGAAGUGAUUGCGGUCACUUCGGCCCUGCCGACUGAGGACCGCGUGUCAGGAUAAGGUGUCAGACGAUCCUUGCAUUGAAUGCUCCCGCGAUACGGUCGGUUGGCGUGGCGAUCUGGCCAAGGCUGCUUCUCCGCGAAGCCUGCCCGAGCUGGGCCUCGGGCGAGUCGAAGGUGCACCCGUUGCUUGAGGAGACCCUCGGGCGAGACGUGAAUCCUCCUGGGUCGGCUAUCUUUGCCCGAGGCUGGGCUCGGGCGAGGCGAGAUCAUGUCCCUUGAGUGGACGGAGCCUUGACCUGAAUUGCGCCCAUCAGGCCUUUGCAGCUUUGUGCUGAUGGCGGUUACCAGCUGAGAUUAGGAGUCUUGGGGGUACCCCUAAUUAUGGUCCCCGACAAAUUUAUAUCAAUCACUUAAUAACUUCAGAAAAUUGUAACUCCGAAUUUAGUGAUUCUUGUUCCUACGAUCUCGAUACGAUGCGUAGAAUAAUAUCAUGCAUUCUGUUCUUCUGUUUUGUGUGAUGUUAAUUUCUCCUAUACCAUGUUUGUUUGUAUUGUUGCGAGUAGAUGAGCAAGCCACUGAGGACCUAGGUGUUCAGCAGGUGGAGACUGCCGAGCAGGAGCUCGUUGAAGGCAAGUUGUGCUCUUGACCACUUCUAUUUACCCCAUAUUGUUUUUUAUAAUCAUUUUAGCAUGCAUAUGCUUAAUUAUGAUGGGACCCAAUAGGUCACCCUAGUUUGGUCAUCUGUACACUUUUGUUUACUCCUGAACUUUUGGAUAGUCUUUGCUAUUGCUAUAUAUGGUUUCGGGGGACGAGAUAACUAUUACACAUGGUCAUUCUUUAUUAUUCUUCUUCUAUUCUGUUCAUGAUAAGACUAUUAUGUUAAUUGGAACAUGGAGCUAAACUUGAGAAACACGUGCCACCAUAAGGGUGGAAUGGGACACCCUUGGCUGACUAAUUAGGAAAGUUAGUAGAGGACUACCUUACCCGAAAGGGGCAAGGGCAGUAGGGGAGUUGGCGAGUAGGGAGGUUCUCGGGUUGAUUUUGAUGUGAUGACGGUCAGAUGGAGGAUUCCUGCAUUGCGCUCCCUAGAAACUGUAGUGGGUUUUCUGAAGUUAGUGGAACUUUGUAAAGGACUCGUAGUGUUACCCUGACUCGCUUCCUUGGUAGAGGUGUAUGGGAUUCAUGACCCCUUGGCAGAUGGGUAACAUGACUUGUGGGUAAAGGGUACAACCUCUGCAGAGUGUAAAACUGGUAUACUAGCCGUGCUCGCGGUCAUGAGCAGUUCAGGACUCUCGCAUGAUUAAUUUAUGGAAUUAAAUUCAAUUUGUUAUUUGUAUCACAUUAUGGUUUAUUAUUAAUUUUGAUACAUUAUUACUCUAGUUUGGUAUUGUCGGCGUUUCGAGACCGGGGGGUCCCUUGGGCCGACGAGUGAGUGUCGCCGCGUGCCCCAGCCCAGAUGGGUCGAGCGCGAGGGCGAGCGCGAAGGGGGAGAAGCGAGGCGGCCGGAGACCGGCGUGAGAGGUGGGAAUCCCGCGGCCUUCGUGUUCGUCCCGCGCCCAGGUCGGGUGCGCUUGCAGUAGGGGGUUACAAGCGUCCACGCGGGAGAGGGAAGCGAGCGGCCCCAAGCGAGCGCCUGUCUCGUCCUCGUCCCCGCGCGGCCAACCCUCUCUAAGAGGGCCCUGGUCCUUCCUUUUAUAGGCGUAAGGAGAGGAUCCAGGUGUACAAUGGGGGGGUGUAGCAGAGUGCUACGUGUCUAGCGGGGGAGAGCUAGCGCCCUAAGUACAUGCCGAUGUGGCAGCCGGAGACAUUUUGGCACCCAGCUGGUGUGAUGUCGUGGCUGUCGGAGGAGCGACGGAGCCUGGCGGAGGGACAGCUGUCGGAGCGGUUGGGUCCUUGCUGACGUCCUCUUGCUUCCGUAAGGGGGCUGAGAGCCGCCGUCGUCACAGAGUAUGCGGGGCGCCAUCAUUGCCUAUCUGGCGGAGCUAGCCAGAUGGGACACCGGUCUUGUUCCCUGCGGCCCGAGUCAGCUCGGGGUAGGGUGAUGAUGACGCUUCCUGUUGACGUGGCUGGCCUGCGCCCUAGGUUGGGCAAUGUGGAGGCUCCUCCGAAGCCGAGGUCGAGUCUGUCUUCCAUGACCGAGGCCGAGUCCGAGCCCCUGGGUCGGGCGAGGCAGAGGUCGUCGGCAGAGGCCAGGGCGGAGUCCGAGCCCUGGGGUCGGGCGAAGCGGAGUUCGUCGUCUUCUAGGGCUGAGCCCGAGUCCGAGCCCUGGGUCGGGCGGAGCGGAGUUCGCCGUCUUCCGGGACUUAGCCCGAGUCCGAGCCCUGGGUCGGGCGGAGCGGAGUUCGCUGUCUUCCGGGACUUAGCCCGAGUCCGAGCCCUGGGUCGGGCGGAGCGGAGUUCGCCGUCUUCCGGGACUUAGCCCGAGUCCGAGCCCUGGGUCGGGCGGAGCGGAGUUCGCCGUCUUCCGGGACUUAGCCCGAGUCCGAGCCCUGGUUCGGGCGGAGCGGAGUUCGCUGUCUUCCGGGACCUAGCCCGAGUCCGAGCCCUGGGUCGAGCGAAGCGGAGCUUCCUAUGGUGCCUUUGGCAGGGCCUGACUGCCUGUCAGUCUCACUCUGUCAAGUGGUACUGCAGUCGGAGUGGCGCAGGCGGCGCUGUCCUUCUGUCAGGCCGGUCAGUGGAGCGGCGAAGUGACGGCGGUCACUUCGGCUCUGCCGGGGGGCGCGCGUCAGGAUAAAGGUGUCGGGCCACCUUUGCGUUAAAUGCUCCUGCGACUUGGUCGGUAGGUGCGGCGAUUUAGUCAGGGUUGCUUCUUAGCGAAGGCAGGGCCUCGGGCGAGCCGGAAAUAUGUUUGCCGUUGGAGGGGGGCCUCGGGCGAGACGGAAAUCCUCUGGGGUCGGCUGCCCUUGUCCGAGCCUAGGCUCGGGCGAGGCAUGAUCGAGUCGCUCGAAUGGACUGAUCCCUGACUUAAUCGCACCCAUCAGGCCUUAGCAGCUUUAUGCUGAUGGGGGUUACCAGCUGAGAAUUAGGAGUCUUGAGGGUACCCCUAAUUAUGGUCCCCGACAGUAGCCCCCGAGCCUCGAAGGGAGUGUUAGCACUCGCUUGGAGGCUUUCGUCGCACUUUUUUGCAAGGGGACCAGCCUUUCUCGGUUGCAUUUUGUUCCGGUGGGUGCGCGCGAGCGCACCCGCCGGGUGUAGCCCCCGAGGCCUCGGAGGAGUGGUUUAACUCCUUCGAGGUCUUGAUGCCUCGCGUAAUGCUUCGGCUGGUCUGGUUGUUCCCUCAUGCGAGCUGGCCGUAGCCCGGGUGUACGGUCGGGUCCCAAGUUCUCGGGCUGGUAUGUUGACGCUGUCAACGGUUCGGCCGGAGCCGGGUUUGCGAGAGCAGCCCCUGAGCCUCCGCACAGGGUGAGAGGGCGAUCAGGGACAGACUCGGCUUUUUUACAUACGCCCCUGCGUCGCCUUUCCGCAAGGAGGAGGGGGGGAAAGCGCCAUGUUGCCCUCGAUGGGCGCCGAACAUGGUGUCUCCGGUGAGCUGCAAGAGGGUAAUCCGAGUGGACGUUCGUGCCCCGUUCGUUAGGGGUCGGCUAGGGGCCCAGAGGCACGCCCAAAAGUACCUGCGGGUGAUCUGCCGGACCCGGUCCCCUGGCGACGGGGUCCGAGGGCUCGAUGCCUCCCUCUGAUGGGAUUCCGUUACAAGAUCGCUCCCGCUGGUCUCGGAAAUGUCCUAGGGUACCUCGGGAGCGCAGCCCGAGCCUUGGUUAUGUAUCGAACGUACCCCUGGUCAUCCCUCGCUCGGCGUCUGAGGCGGCUGUGAACCCUUUGGGGGCCAGCCUUCGAACCCCUGAUCAGUAAUGGGCGCGGAGCCCGAGUAGCCUGAGGCGGCCGUGGAACCCUUCGGGGGCUGGCCUUCGAACCUCUGACCAGUAGUGGGUGUAGGGCCCAUGCAAUCUGAGGCGGCUGUCGAACCCUUCGGGGGGCCAGCCUUCGAACCUCUGAUCAGUAGGGAGGCUCGGAGCCUGGUUCCUUCACGGGGAAGGAUCCUUUUUGGGGUAUCCCCCUUUCCCGGUCCCUGUUGCAAGAGAGAGAGAAAGAGGAAAAAAGGAAAAGGAUACGAAAUCGAACGACGCGGCGUACCUUUUCUGGCGCGGUUAUUACGGCGAAGGCGAAGCGUCGCCCGCUUCUCGUGCCAGAAGCGUCGCCUGUCCUGCAUGGCUGCCCGCCCCUUUCGCCCGUUGGUCUGGGCAAAAGUGGAGGGUCACUUGUAACCGCUGGGCGGUCGUGUGCACCGCGCGCGGCAGUUUGGCUUCUUCUGCUCUGAGCCGGCUUGCAUGACAUGUGGGACCCAGCCCCCGCGCCGCAGGGGAGGGCCUUGGAGCGUGUUGGAGAAGACUCAGCCCGUGACGGCUGGGGGCGCAAGUAGGGAGAGUUGUCUUUAAAAGGAGGGUGACCCCCUUCGGAAGGCGACCAUGUCUUCGCGCUGCCUUAUGCAUCGUGUCUUUCCACCUUCCAAGCCCCCGGAUGGGGGAUACCCGCCGUCUUCUCGCCUCAUAGUUGGAGGAACGCAACUCCGCGGGAGUUGGUACCUUUCAGCCAUCGUUCGGCUUCAAGGAUUUUCAUCAUGCAGCCCGGCUGCACCCCUCUGCCGGCGGUCACCCAAGAUGGUGACCUCCAGCUUGAUGGUGGGGGAAAGCGAGCCGGGCUGCGGCCUCUGCCCCUCCCUCAGCCUCAAGGAUUUUCAUCACCAGGGCUGGGGAGGGGAGUGUGCCGAGUUGGGGUCGGCCCCUGCGUGGGCUGUGGCCCGCUCCUUCACUCAGUGAUCGGAGGGAAGGGCGGUCGUCGUCCGUGGCGCCGGCAGCUGCACCGUGCCUGGCUCUCGGACGUGAGUGGCUUCGGAGCCGCUCGCGGCGCCGGCGUUUGCCACAGCAGCUGGAAGAGGUUCUUCCGCCGACGAGAUAGCCAGGGCCGCCCACGGACCGACCUCCAACUCUACGGCCUUCUGCCCGUCCUUGCCUCACAAGUUUGGGCAUGGGUGGGGGCCUCCUGGCAGCAGCACCCGCCCUGAGGUCAGUGCUGCCGCUGUUUGGCCCCCCGGAGCAGAAGUCGUCGUCGUCGCUGCUGCCGGAGCAGGCGACGGCGCGCCGUUCGUCGGUCUUCUGUUGCUCUGCAGGCCCGCCCCCAUCGAGUGGGGUUGUUCGUACCUGCGGAGGGGGAACCGGAGUUCCGUUUGUAAUGGCACUUUGAAUGCCAGUGUUUUCGUUCAUUAUGGCUGUCGAGGCCUGAACAUGUAUGUAAUUUUGGCACGGAGCCGUGUUUUUUACUCAUUUUCGAGCACUAAGACUCGCCUGUUGGUUGUCUGAACCGCUUCACCAAGCGUGAGUCGCCCCGUGUCAAGGUGACGAGUGAGGUAUCCGUAUCCCAGAGGCGUAGGAGUCCCUCGGCUCGGUCGGCCUUGUUGUCCGAGGCUCCUCAAGCUUAGUUAAAGGGACCCCUUGGCCGCUCUUCGAUGAGCCGAGGCCAGGGGUAGCAAUAUCAGCAUGAACAGGGGCAGAGUUGGCUCGAAAAUGAAACCUGGUUGGUCGGAGCCUAGCCGGGUCGUCCGUUGGCGGGACCGAUGCUGGAAUUGACCAGCCGAAGCCUCGGGUCGGGCUGGCGCUCUUGGAAGAUGGUUGGCCGAGGCCCCCGGGGUGACCGGCCGAGCCGCCUGCCCGGGCCGGAUUCCCAGAGAAGUCCCUGGCGGCGAUGGCCCGGGCGUGGCGAUGACGUCGUCCUUCGGAGUGGAAAUCCUCGGACCGCGUCGCCAUCCGAGGCUGGGUCGGACCUCGCCGAAGGUGUCGUCGAUGCCGAGGGUGUUGCUACCCCUUCCAGCGUCAAGACCCGAGCCUGCAGGAUCAGAUUGUCUCGUAGCGUGUGCCUUCUGCGGCCGCCGAGGCCAAAACACACACCCUCGCUGUGUUGUAAAGCUGCGUCUCUUUUCCUCUUGUUUCGAGUAUCUGGACUUUUUUGUCGGUAACAGGGAUGUUUGUGCGAGCAAGAGUUGCUUCUCGCGGAAGGUGAUGAGUGAGGUAUCCGUAUCCCGGAGGCGUAGGAGUCCCUCGGCUCGGUCGGCCUUGCCGCUUACACGCACUUUUACCCGUCCAUGAGGCUCUGUCACCGACUCAGUCGAGAAGGCUCGAAGGAUUGCUUCGGCAGAAGAACUUCCGAACGUGAAGACUUGUCCGGUCCGCGGAAUCACUUAUCCGAACGUGAGUUACUUAUCGCAGAAGGUGAUGAGUGAGGUAUCCGUAUCCCGGAGGCGUAGGAGUCCCUCGGCUCGGUCAGCCUUGGCUGCUUACGUGCACUCCGUCGUUUUCAGGAUCCACUUUUCGAAGUAGUCAAAAAGCACGAAAGAUAUUCUGGCAGAAGAGAUCUUUUUUCGAGGAAAAUUUCAACGCAGAGGGGGUUCCCCCCCUUUUAGCCCCCGAGGGAGGGUCGGGCUUUGCCGAGGCGAGGCCGACCCUUCCUUGAUGACUAAACUUUGCGUGGGUGUGAGGUAUAUGAACAACUUGAAAACAUCUUAAGGGUAGAAGCGACGUAGCUGUUGGAUGUUCCAAGCGUUGCCGUAGACCUCGCCUUGACUGUUGGCCAGCUUGUACGUUCCCGGCUUCAGAACUUUGGCGAUGACGAAUGGCCCCUCCUAGGGGGGCGUGAGCUUGUGCCUCCCUUGGGCGUCUUGUCACAGCCGAAGCACCAGGUCGCCCACCUGGAGGUCUCGGGACCGGACCCCUCGGGCGUGGUAGCGUCGCAGGGGCUGCUGGUACCGCGCCGAGUGUAGUAAGGCCUUGUCCCGAGCUUCUUCCAGCUGGUCCAGCGAGUCUUCUCGGCUGGCUUGGUUGCUUUUAUCGCUGUAGGCCCUCGUCCUCGGAGAGCCGUAUUCCAGGUCUGUGGGCAAGACAGCCUCGGCCCCGUAUACUAGGAAGAACGGCGUGAAACCCGUGGCUCGGCUCGGCGUUGUCCUCAGGCUCCAGACCACCGAGGGGAGUUCCUUCAUCCAUCGCUUGCCGAACUUGUUGAGGUCGUUGUAAAUCCGAGGCUUGAGCCCUUGUAGAAUCAUGCCGUUGGCACGCUCUACUUGCCCAUUUGACAUGGGAUGAGCCACGGCGGCCUAGUCCACCCGGAUGUGGUGAUCCUCGCAGAAGUCCAAGAACUUUCUGCUGGUGAACUGGGUGCCGUUGUCGGUGAUGAUGGAGUUCGGGACCCCGAAGCGAUGGAUGAUGUUGGUGAAGAACGCCACCGCCUGCUCGGACCUGAUGCUGUUCAGAGGUCGGACCUCGAUCCACUUGGAGAAUUUGUCGAUGGCGACCAGCAGGUGCGUGUAGCCCCCUGGCGCCUUCUGCAAGGGGCCGACGAGGUCUAGACCCCAUACAGCAAAGGGCCAGGUGAUGGGUAUCGUCUGCAGAGCCUGAGCGGGCAGGUGGGUCUGCUUCACAUAGAAUUGACACCCUUCGCAGGUGCGGACAAUUCUAGUGGCGUCAGCCACCGCCGUUGGCCAGUAGAGGCCUUGUCGGAAAGCAUUCCCGACAAGGGCUCGAGGCGCUGCGUGAUGGCCGCAAGCCCCCGAGUGUAUCUCUCGCAGGAGUUCCUGACCUUCGGUGACGGAGAUGCACCGCUGGAGGAUGCCUGAGGGGCUGCGGUGGUAGAGCUCCUUCUCAUCGCCCAGCAAGACGAACGACUUGGCGCGCCGCGCCCCCCACCGAGCCUCGGCUCGGUCGAGAGGUAGCUCUCCUUGGUGGAGAUAUUGCAGGUACGGGGUCUGCCAGUUUCGAUCAGGCGUGGCCCCGCUUCGCUCCUCCUCGAUGCGCAGUGCCUCACCCUCGGAGGCCGGGGGUACCUCGGGCUGAACCGAGGGCGCCUCGGGCCGAGCUGAGGGUGCCUCGGGCUGUGCCGAGGGUACCUCGGGCUGGACCGAGGGUACCUCAGACUGGGCCGAGGGCGCCACAGGCUCGGGCGUGUUGUCGAUCUUGACGGAGGGUUGAUGUAGAUCCCGGGAGAAGACGUCCGGGGGAACCGUUGUUCGCCCCGAGGCUAUUUUAGCCAGCUCGUCCGCAGUCUUGUUGUAGCGCCGAGCGAUGUGGUUAAGCUCGAGCCCGUAGAACUUGUCUUCCAGGCGCCGAACCUCAUCGCAGUAGGCCUCCAUCUUCAGGUCGCGGCAGUGGGAGUUCUUCAUGACUUGGUCGAUGACGAGCUGCGAGUCACCACGGGCGUCGAGGCGCCGGACCCCUAGCUCGAUGGCGAUCUGCAACCCGUUGACCAGAGCCUCAUACUCAGCCACAUUGUUGGACGCCGGGAAAUGGAGGCGUAGCACAUAGCGUAGGUGUUUCCCGAGGGGCGAGAUGAAGAGUAGGCCCGCGCCGGCUCCCGUCUUCAUCAGCGACCCGUCGAAAAACAUGGUCCAGAGCUCCGGUUGGAUCGGAGCCGUCGGUAGCUGGGUGUCGACCCAUUCGGCUACGAAGUCCGCCAAGACCUGGGACUUGAUGGCCUUCCGAGGGGCGAACGAGAUUGUCUCGCCCAUGAUUUCCACCGCCCACUUUGCGAUCCUGCCCGAGGCCUCUCGGCACUGGAUGAUCUCCCCCAGGGGGAAGGAUGACACCACAGUUACCGGAUGAGACUCGAAGUAGUGUCGCAACUUCCGCCGCGUCAGGAUCACUGCAUACAGCAGCUUCUGAACUUGUGGGUAGCGGAUCUUGGUUUCGGACAGUACCUCGCUGACGAAGUAAACUGGCCUCUGAACGGGCAAUGCAUGCCCCUCUUCCUGCCUCUCGACCACAAUCGCGGCGCUAACCACCUGAGUGGUCGCGGCGACGUAUACCAAGAGGGCUUCUCCGGCAGCUGGAGGCACCAAGAUAAGCGCCUUUGUGAGGAGCGCCUUCAGGUUCCCGAGAGCUUCCUCGGCCUCAGGGGUCCAAGUGAAGCACUCAGCCUUCCUUAAGAGGCGGUACAGAGGCAGACCUUUUUCGUCGAGGCAUGAGAUGAAGCGGCUCAGAGCCGCGAGACAUCCCAUGACCCUCUGUACGCCUUUUAAGUCCUUGAUGGGCCCCAUGCUGAUGAUGGCUGCGAUCUUCUCCGGGUUGGCUUCGAUGCCCCACUCGGAGACGAUGAACCCCAAGAGCAUGCCCCGGGGCACCCGAAGACACACUUCUCGGGAUUGAGCUUGACGCCUUUCGCCUUGAGACAUCGGAAUGUCACUUCAAGGUCGGAAAGGAGGUCGGAAGCUUUCCUUGUCUUGACUACGAUGUCAUCGACGUAGGCCUCGACCGUGCGACCGAUGUGUUCGCCGAACACAUGGUUCAUGCAUCGCUGGUACGUCGCGCCCGCAUUCCUCAAGCCGAACGGCAUGGUGACAUAGCAGUACAUGCCGAAGGGCGUGAUGAAAGAAGUCGCGAGCUGGUCGGACUCUUUCAUCCUGAUUUGGUGAUACCCUGAGUAGGCAUCAAGGAAAGACAGGGUUUCGCACCCAGCAGUGGAAUCCACGAUUUGAUCGAUGCGAGGCAGAGGGUAGGGAACCUUCGGACAUGCUUUGUUGAGACCAGUGUGGUCUACACACAUCCGCCAUUUCCCCCCUUUCUUUCUCACAAGCACAGGGUUGGCAAGCCAUUCGGGAUGGAAUACCUCUUUGAUGAACCCUGCCGCCAUUAGCUUGUGGAUCUCCUCGCCUAUCACUCUGCGCUUCUCCUCGUCGAAUCGGCGCAGAGGCUGCUUGACGGGUCGGGCUCCGGCCCGAAUAUCCAGCGAGUGCUCGGCGACAUCCCUCGGUAUGCCGGGCAUGUCCGAGGGACUCCACGCGAAGACGUCGGCGUUUGCGUGGAGAAAGUCGACGAGCACUGCUUCCUAUUUGGGAUCGAGCCCGGAGCCGAUCCGGAUUUGCUUGGAGACGUCGCCACUGGGGUCGAGGGGGACGGCCUUAACCGUCUCCACUGGCUCGAAGUUGCCGGCAUGACGCUUCACGUCUGGCACCUCUUUGGAGAGGCUUUCCAGGUCGGCGAUGAGGGCCUCGGACUCGGCGAGGGCCUCAGCGUACUCCACGCACUCCACGUCGCAUUUGAACGCGUGCUUGUACGUGGGGCCGACGGUGAUGACCCCGUUGGGGCCCGACAUCUUGAGCUUCAGGUAGGUGUAGUUGGGGACGGCCAUGAACUUCGCGUAGCAUGGCCUUCCCAGUACCGCGUGGUAGGUUCCUCGGAACCCGACCACCUCGAACGUCAGAGUCUCCCUUCGGAAGUUGGAGGGCGUUCCGAAGCAGACGGGAAGGUCGAGUCGUCCGAGGGGCUGGACGCGCUUCCCGGGAAUGAUCCCGUGGAAGGGCGCAGCGCCUGCUCGGACGGAGGACAGAUCGACGUGCAGGAGCCCGAGGGUCUCGGCAUAGAUGAUGUUGAGGCUGUUGCCUUCGUCCAUAAGGACCUUGGUGAGCCUGACGUCGCCGAUGACGGGGUCGACGACGAGCGGGUAUUUCCCCGGGCUCGGCACGUGGUCGGGGUGGUCGGCUUGGUCGAAAGUGAUGGGCUUGUCGGACCAGUCUAGGUAGACUGGCGCCGCCACCUUCACCGAGCAGACCUCCCGGCGCUCUUGUUUGUGGUGCCGAGCCGAGGCAUUCGCCGAAUGCCCACCGUAGAUCAUGAAGCAGUCGCGGACCUCGGGGAACUCUCCUGCUUGGUGAUCUUCCUUCUUGUCGUCGUCGCGGGCCCUGCCACCCUCUGCGGGUGGCGCGGCCCUGUGGAAGUGGCGCCGAAGCAUGACGCACUCCUCAAGGGUGUGCUUGACAGGCCCCUGAUGAUAGGGGCAUGGCUCCUUGAGCAUCUUGUCGAAGAGGUUGGCACCUCCGGGGGGCUUCCGAGGGUUCUUGUACUCGACGGCGGCGACAAGGUCCGCGUCGGCGGCGUCGCGUUUCGCUUGUGACUUCUUCUUGCCUUUCUUCUUGGCGCCGCGCUGAGUAGACGCCUCGGGAGCAUCUUCUGAUGGGCGGCCCUGGGGCUGCUUGUCCUUUCGGAAGAUAGCCUCGACCGCCUCCUGGCCAGAGGCGAACUUGGUGGCGAUGUCCAUCAGCUCGCUCGCCCUGGUGGGGGUCUUGCGACCCAACUUGCUCACCAGGUCGCGGCAGGUGGUGCCGGCGAGGAACGCGCCGAUGACAUCCGAGUCGGUGAUAUUGGGCAGCUCGGUGCGCUGUUUCGAAAAUCGCCGGAUGUAGUCCCGGAGAGACUCUCCUGGCUGCUGCCGGCAGCUUCAGAGGUCCCAGGAAUUCCCGGGGCGCACGUACGUGCCCUGGAAAUUGCCGGCGAAAGCUUGGACCAGGUCAUCCCAGUUGGAGAUCUGCCCCGGAGGCAGGUGCUCCAACCAGGCGCGAGCGGUGUCGGAGAGGAACAGGGGGAGGUUGCGGAUGAUGAGGUUGUCGUCGUCCGUUCCACCCAGUUGGCAGGCCAGACAGUAGUUCGCGAGCCACAGUUCCGGUCUCGUCUCCCCCGAGUACUUUGCGAUAGUAGUCGGGGGUCAGAACCGGGUCGGGAACGGUGCCCGUCGGAUGGCCCGGCUGAAGGCCUGCGGACCGGGCGGUUCGGGCGAGGGACUCCGAUCCUCCCCGCUGUCGUAGCGUCCCCCACGUCUGGGGUGAUAGCCUCGGCGCACCCUCUCGUCGAGGUGGGCCCGACGGUCGCGAUGAUGGUGCUCGUUGCCGAGGCGGCCCGGAGCCGCAGGCGCGGUGUUGCGCGUGCGCCCGGUGUAGACCGAGGCUUCCCGCAUGAAUCGGGAAGUCGCGGCAUGAGGUUCCGAGGGGUAUCCCUGCCUUCGGGAGGCAGAGCUCUCGGCCCGUCGGACCGCAGCUGAUAGUCGCCUAGAGGGGGGUGAAUAGGGCGAAACUGAAAUUUACAAAUAUAAACACAACUACAAGCCGGGUUAGCGUUAGUAAUAAAGAAACGAGUCCGCGAGAGAGGGCGCAAAACAAAUCGCAAGCAAAUAAAGAGUGUGACACGUGGAUUUGUUUUACCGAGGUUCGGUUCUCGCAAACCUACUCCCCGUUGAGGAGGCCACAAAGGCCGGGUCUCUUUCAACCCUUCCCUCUCUCAAACGAUCCCGAGGAUCGAGUGAGCUUUCUCUUCUCAAUCACUUGGAACACAAAGUUCCCACAAGGACCACCACAAGUUUGGUGUCUCUUGCCUCAAUUACAAGUGAGUUUGGUCGCAAUGAAAGAAUCAAGAAAGAAGAAAGCAAUCCAAGCGCAAGAGCUCGAAAGAACACAAGCAAAUCACUCUCUCUAGUCACUAUGGCGUUGUGUGGAAUUUGGAGAGGAUUUGAUCUCUUUGGUGUGUCUAGAAUUGAAUGCUAGAGUUCUUGUAGUAGUUGGGAAGUGGAAAACUUGGAUGCCAUGAAUGGUGGGGUGGUUGGGGUAUUUAUAGCCCCAACCACCAAAAGUGGCCGUUGGGAGGCUGUCUGUUCGAUGGCGCACCGGACAGUCCGGUGCACACCGGACAUGUCCGGUGCCCCCGCCACGUCAUCAAUGCUGUUGGAUUCUGACCGUUGGAGCUUCUGACUUGUGGACCCGCCUGGAUGUCCGGUGCACACCGGACAUGCACUGUUCCUUGUCCGGUGCGCCAGUAUGGGCGCGCCCGACUUCUGCGCGCGCUGCGCGCGCAUUAAUUGCGUUGCAGGUAGCCGUUGGCGCCGAAUAGUCGUUGCUCCGGAGUUGCACCAGACAGUCCGGUGCACACCGGACAUGUCCGGUGAAUUAUAGCGGACUAGCCGUUGGAGAUUCCCGAAGCUGGCGAGUUCCUGAGGCCGCUCUUCCUUGGUGCACCGGACACUGUCCGGUGUACACCGGACAGUCCGGUGAAUUAUAGCGCGAGUGCCUCUGGAAAUUCCCGAAGGUGGCGAGUUUGAGUUAGAGUCCUCUGGUGCACCGGACAGGUCCGGUGGUGCACCGGACACUGUCCGGUGGCACACCGGACAGUCCGGUGCGCCAGACCAGAGGUGCCUUCGGUUGGCCCUUUGCUCUUUUGUUGAACCCAACUCUUGAUCUUUUUAUUGGCUAAGUGUGAACCUUUAGCACCUGUAUAACUUAUACACUAGAGCAAACUAGUUAGUCCAAUUAUUUGUGUUGGGCAAUUCAACCACCAAAAUUAUUUGAGAACUAGGUGUAAGCCUAAUUCCCUUUCAAUCUCCCCCUUUUUGGUGAUUGAUGCCAACACAAACCAAAGCAAGUAUAGAAAUGCAUAAUUGAAUUAGUUUGCAUAAUGUAAGUGCAAAGGUUGCUUGGAAUUGAGCCAAUAUAACUACUUACAAGAUAUGCAUGGAUUGUUUCUUACUUAUAACAUUUUGGACCACGCUUGCACCACAUUUUUUUUGUUUUUGCAAAUUCUUUUGUAAGUCUUUUUCAAAGUUCUUUUGCAAAUAAUCAAAGGUAAAUAAAUAAGAUUUUGCAAAGCAUUCUUAAAAUUUGAAAUUUUCUCCCCCUGUUUCAAAUGCUUUUCCUUUGACUAGACAAAACUCCCCCUAAAUGAGAUCCUCCUCUUAGUGUUCAAGAGGGUUUUUAUAUGUCAUUUUUUAAAUACUACUUUCUCCUCCUUUUGAACACAAUAGGAUACCAAUUGAUAAUAUCUUUGGAAAACACAAAGUUUUUGAAAUUGGUGGUGGUGCGGUCCUUUUGCUUUGGUCUCAUAUUUUCUCCCCCUUUGGCAUGAAUCGCCAAAAACGGAAUCAUUAGAGCCCUCAAGUUACAUUCUCCCUCUUUGGUCAAAACAAAUGAGUGAAGAUUAUACCAAAGAUGGAGUUCUUGUGCUUUGUGCUCACGCUGUCUCCCCCUAGGAGUGACGGCGAAGGAUGAGUUACGUAGUGGAAGCCUUUGUCUUCGCCGAAGACUCCAAUUCCCUUUCAAUACACCUAUGACUUGGUUUAAAAUAGACUUGAAAACACAUUAGUCAUAGCAUAUGAAAGAGACAUGAUCAAAGGUAUAUAAAAGAGCUAUGUGUGCAAUUUAACAAAAGAAGUUCCUAGAAUCAAGAAUAUUUAGCUCAUGCCUAAGUUUGUUAAAAGUUUGUUCAUCAAGAGGCUUGGUAAAGAUAUCGGCUAAUUGAUCUUUAGUAUUAAUGUAAGAAAUCUCGAUAUCUCCCUUUUGUUGGUGAUCCCUAAGAAAAUGAUACUGAAUGGCUAUGUGCUUAGUGCGACUAUGCUCGACGGGAUUGUCGGCCAUUUUGAUUGCACUCUCAUUAUCACAUAGCAAAGGGACUUUGGUUAAUUUGUAACCGUAGUCCCGCAGGGUUUGCCUCAUCCAAAGCAAUUGCGCGCAACAAUGACCUGCGGCAAUGUACUCGGCUUCGGCGGUGGAAAGAGCGACCGAAUUUUGCUUCUUUGAAGCCCAAGACACCAAGGAUCUUCCCAAGAACUGGCAAGUCCCUGAUGUGCUCUUCCUAUUGAUUUUGCACCCCGCCCAAUCGGCAUCCGAAUAACCAAUUAAAUCAAAUGUGGAUCCCCUAGGAUACCAAAGCCCAAACUUAGGAGUAUAAGCCAAAUAUCUCAAGAUUCGUUUUACGGCCUUAAGGUGAGCUUCCUUAGGGUCGGCUUGGAAUCUUGCACACAUGCAUACGGAAAGCAUAAUAUCCGGUCGAGAUGCACAUAAAUAGAGCAAAGAACCUAUCAUCGACCGGUAUACCUUUUGAUCCACGGACUUACCUCCCGUGUCGAGGUCUAGAUGCCCAUUGGUUCCCAUGGGUGUCUUGAUGGGUUUGGCAUCCUUCAUUCCAAACUUGUUUAGAAUGUCUUGAGUGUACUUCGUUUGGCUAAUGAAGGUGCCGUCUUGGAGUUGCUUCACUUGAAAUCCCAAGAAAUACUUCAACUCCCCCAUCAUAGACAUCUCGAACUUUUGUGUCAUGAUCCUACUAAACUCUUCACAUGUAGACUUGUUAGUGGACCCAAAUAUAAUAUCAUCAACAUAAAUUUGGCAUACAAACAAGUCAUUUUCAAGAGUUUUAGUAAAGAGUGUAGGAUCGGCCUUUCCGACUUUGAAUCCAUUUGCAAUAAGAAAGUCUCUAAGGCAUUCAUACCAUGCUCUUGGGGCUUGCUUAAGCCCAUAAAGCACCUUAGAGAGCUUAUAGACAUGGUUAGGGUACUCACUGUCUUCAAAGCCGGGAGGUUGCUCAACAUAGACCUCUUCCUUGAUUGGUCCAUUGAGGAAGGCACUUUUCACGUCCAUUUGAUAAAGCUUAAAGCCAUGGUAAGUAGCAUAGGCCAAUAAUAUACGAAUUGACUCAAGCCUAGCUACGGGUGCAUAGGUUUCACCGAAAUCCAAACCUUCGACUUGAGAAUAUCCUUUGGCCACAAGUCGAGCUUUGUUCCUUGUCACCACACCAUGCUCAUCUUGCUUGUUGCGGAAGACCCAUUUGGUUCCUACAACAUUUUGAUUAGGACGUGGAACUAAAUGCCAUACCUCAUUUCUAGUGAAGUUGUUGAGCUCCUCUUGCAUCGCCACCACCCAAUCCGAAUCUUGGAGUGCUUCCUCUACCCUGUGUGGCUCAAUAGAGGAAACAAAAGAGUAAUGCUCACAAAAGUGUGCAACACGAGAUCUAGUUGUUACCCCCUUAUGAAUGUCGCCAAGGAUGGUGUCGACGGGGUGAUCUCGUUGGAUUGCUUGGUGGACUCUUGUGUGUGGCGGCCUUGGUUCUUCAUCCUCCUUGUCUUGAUCAUUUGCAUCUCCCCCUUGAUCUAUGACGUCAUCUUGAGGUGGCUCAUUUGUUUGAUCUUCUUCUUCAUCAACUUGAGCUUCAUCCUCAUUUUGAGUUGGUGGAGAUGCUUGCGUGGAGGAGGAUGGUUGAUCUUGUGCAUUUGGAGGUUCUUCGAAUUCCUUAGGACGCACAUCCCCAAUGGACAUGUUCCUUAGCGCGAUGCACGGAGCCUCUUCAAUACCUGUCUCAUCAAGAUCAACUUGCUCUACUUGAGAGCCGUUAGUUUCAUCAAACACAACGUCACAUGAGACUUCAACUAGUCCAGUGGACUUGUUAAAGACCCUAUAUGCCCUUGUGUUUGAGUCAUAACCAAGUAAAAAGCCUUCUACAGUCUUAGGAGCAAAUUUAGAUUUUCUACCUCUUUUAACAAGAAUAAAGCAUUUGCUACCAAAGACUCUAAAAUAUGAAAUGUUGGGCUUUUUACCGGUUAGGAGUUCAUAGGAUGUCUUCUUGAGGAUUCGGUGUAGAUAUAACCGGUUGAUGGCGUAGCAGGCGGUGUUGACCGCCUCGGCCCAAAACCGAUCCGAAGUCUUGUACUCAUCAAGCAUGGUUCUUGCCAUGUCUAAUAGAGUUCGAUUCUUCCUCUCUACUACACCAUUUUGUUGUGGCAUGUAGGGAGAAGAGAACUCAUGCUUGAUGCCCUCCUCCUCAAGGAAACCUUCAAUUUGUGAGUUCUUGAACUCCGUUCCAUUGUCGCUUCUAAUUUUCUUGAUCCUUAAGCCGAACUCAUUUUGAGCCCGUCUCAAGAAUCCCUUUAAGGUUUCUUGGGUUUGCGAUUUUUCCUGCAAAAAGAACACCCAAGUGAAGCGAGAAUAAUCAUCCACUAUUACAAGACAAUACUUACUCCCGCCGAUGCUAAUGUAAGCAAUCGGGCCGAAUAGAUCCAUGUGGAGUAGCUCAAGCGGCCUGUCGGUCGUCAUGAUGUUCUUGUGUGGAUGAUGGGCACCAACUUGCUUUCCUGCUUGGCAUGCGCUACAAACCCUGUCUUUCUCAAAAUGAACAUUUGUUAGUCCUAAAAUGUGUUCUCCCUUUAGAAGCUUGUGAAGAUUCUUCAUCCCAACAUGUGCUAGUCGGCGAUGCCAGAGCCAGCCCAUGUUAGUCUUAGCAAUUAAGCAUGUGUCGAGUUCAGCUCUAUCGAAAUCUACUAAGUAUAGCUGACCCUCUAACACACCCUUAAAUGCUAUUGAAUCAUCACUUCUUCUAAAGACAGUGACACCUAUAUCAGUGAAAAGACAGUUGUAGCCCAUUUUGCAUAAUUGAGAUACAGAAAGCAAAUUGUAAUCUAAAGAGUCUACAAGAAAAACAUUGGAAAUAGAAUGGUCAGGGGAUAUAGCAAUUUUACCCAAUCCUUUGACCAAACCUUGAUUUCCAUCUCCGAAUGUGAUAGCUCGUUGGGGAUCUUGGUUUUUCUCAUAGGAGGAGAACAUUUUCUUUUCCCCUGUCAUGUGGUUUGUGCACCCGCUGACGAUGAUCCAACUUGAGCCCCCGGAUGCAUAAACCUACAAAACAAGUUUAGUUCUUGAUUUUAGGUACCCAAAUGGUUUUGGGUCCUUUGGCAUUAGACACAAGAACUUUGGGUACCCAAACACAAGUCUUUGAUCCCUUGUGCUUGCCCCCAACAUAUUUGGCAACUACUUUGCCGGAUUUGUUAGUCAACACAUAAGAUGCAUCAAAAGUUUUAAAUGAAAGACUAUGUUCAUUUGAUGUAGUAGGAAUUUUCUUCUUAGGCAACUUAGCACGGGUUGGUUGCCUAGAGCUAGAUGUCUCACUCUUAUACAUAAAAGCAUGGUUAGAACCAGAGUGAGACUUCCUAGAAUGAAUUUUCCUAAUUUUGUCCUCGGGAUAACCGGCAGGGUAUAAAAUGUAACCCUCGUUAUCCUGAGGCAUGAGAGCCUUGCCCUUAACAAAGUUAGACAAUCUUUUAGGAGGGGCACUAAGUUUGACAUUGUCUCCCCUUUGGAAGCCAAUGCCAUCCUUGAUGCCAGGGCGUCUCCCAUUAUAGAGCAUACUUCUAGCAAAUUUAAAUUUUUCAUUCUCUAAGUUAUGCUCGACAAUUUUAGCAUCUAAUUUUGCUAUAUGAUCAUUUUGUUGUUUAAUUAAAGUCAUAUGAUCAUGAAUAGCAUUGAUAUCAACAUCUCUACAUCUAGUACAAAUAGUGACAUGCUCAAUGGUAGAUGUAGAUGGUUUGCAAGAAUUAAGUUCAACAAUCUUAGCAUGUAGAAUAUCAUUUUUAUCUCUAAGAUCGGAAAUUGUAACUUUGCAAACAUCAAAAUCUUUAGCCUUAGCAAUCAAAUUUUCAUUUUCUAAUCUAAGACUGGCAAGAGAAAUAUUCAAUUCUUCAAUCCUAGCAAGCAAAUCAUCAUUAUUAUCUCUAGGGUUGAGAAUUGAAACAUUGCAAACAUGAGAAUCAACCUUAGCUAACAAAUUAGCAUUUUCAUUUCUAAGGUUGUCUAUUGUUUCAUGGCAAGUGCUUAGCUCACUAGUUAAUUUUUGACAUUUCUCAAUUUCUAGAGCAUAAGCAUUUUUAACCUUAACAUGCUUCUUAUUUUCUUUAAUAAGGAAGUCCUCUUGAGUAUCCAAAAGGUCAUCCUUUUCAUGAAUAGCACUAAUCAAUUCAUUAAGUUUCUCCUUUUGUUGCAUGUUGAGGUUGGCAAAAAGGGUACGUAAAUUAUCCUCCUCAUCACUAGCAUUAUCAUCACUAGAAGUUUCAUAUUUAGUGGAGGAGUUAGAUUUAACCUUCUUCUUUUUGCCGUCCUUUGCCAUGAGGCACUUGUGGCCGACGUUGGGGAAGAGAAGCCCUUUGGUGACGGCGAUGUUGGCGGCGUCCUCGUCGUCGGAGGAGUCGCUUGAGCUUUCGUCGGAGUCCCACUCCCGACAAACAUGGGCAUCGCCGCCCUUCUUCUUAUAGUAUCUUUUCUUCUCCUUUCUUCUUCCCUUCUUGUCAUCACCCCUGUCACUGUCACUUGAUAAUGGACAUUUAGCUAUAAAGUGACCGGGCUUACCACACUUGUAGCAAACCUUCUUGGAGCGGGACUUGUAGUCUUUCCCCCUCCUUUGUUUGAGGAUUUGGCGGAAGCUUUUGAUGACGAGCGCCAUCUCCUCAUUGUCAAGCUUGGAGGCGUCGAUUGGUUGUCUACUUGGUGUAGACUCCUCCUUCCUUUCCUCCGUCGCCUUGAAUGCGACGGGUUGAGCUUCGGAUGUGGUGGGAUCAUCAAGCUCGUUGAUCUUCCUCGAGCCUUCGAUCAUGCACUCAAAACUUACAAAAUUCCCGAUAACUUCCUCGGGGGUCAUUUUAGUAUAUCUAGGAUUACCACGAAUUAAUUGAACUUGAGUGGGGUUAAGGAAAAUGAGGGAUCUUAGAAUAACCUUAACCACCUCGUGGUCAUCCCACUUUUUGCUCCCGAGGUUGCGCACUUGGUUCACCAAGGUCUUGAGCCGGUUGUACAUGUGUUGUGGCUCUUCCCCUUUGCGAAGCCGGAACCGACCGAGCUCCCCCUCGAUCGUUUCCCGCUUGGUGAUCUUUGUUAGCUCAUCUCCCUCGUGUGCGGUUUUGAGCACAUCCCAAACCUCCUUGUCGCUCUUCAACCCUUGAACUUUGUUAUACUCCUCUCUACUUAAAGAGGCGAGGAGUAUUGUUGUCGCUUGAGAGUUGAAGUGCUCGAUUUGGGCCACCUCAUCCUCAUCAUAGUCUUUAUCCCCUACCGACGGUACCUGUGCACCAAACUCAACAACAUCCCAUAUACUUUUGUGGAGUGAGGUUAGAUGAAAUCGCAUUAAAUCACUCCACCUAGCAUAAUCUUCACCAUCAAAAGUUGGUGGUUUGCCUAAUGGGACGGAAAGUAGAGGUGCAUGUUUAGAAAUGCGAGAAUAGUGUAGGGGGAUCUUACUAAACUUCUUACGCUCUUGGCGUUUAGAAGUUACGGAGGGCGCAUCGGAGCCGGAGGUCGAUGUUGAUGAAGUGUCGGUCUCGUAGUAGACCACUUUCCUCAUCCUCUUUGGCUUGUCCUCACUCCGAUGCGGCUUGUGGGAAGAAGAUUUUUCCUUCUUCUCUUUGUGGUGAGAAGAAGAUUUCUUCUCCUUCCCUUUGGAGGAGCUCUUCUUCUUCUCCCUCCUCUUGGUGCGGGACUCUUCCGAUGAAGUGCUCCCGUGGCUUGUAAUGGGUUUUUCGCUGGUCUCCAUCUCCUUCUUGGCGUGAUCUCCCGACAUCACUUCGAGCGGUUAGGCUCUAAUGAAGCACCGGGCUCUGAUACCAAUUGAUAGUCGCCUAGAGGGGGGGUGAAUAGGGCGAAACUGAAAUUUACAAAUAUAAACACAACUACAAGCCGGGUUAGCGUUAGUAAUAAAGAAACGAGUCCGCGAGAGAGGGCGCAAAACAAAUCGCAAGCAAAUAAAGAGUGUGACACGUGGAUUUGUUUUACCGAGGUUCGGUUCUCGCAAACCUACUCCCCGUUGAGGAGGCCACAAAGGCCGGGUCUCUUUCAACCCUUCCCUCUCUCAAACGAUCCCGAGGAUCGAGUGAGCUUUCUCUUCUCAAUCACUUGGAACACAAAGUUCCCACAAGGACCACCACAAGUUUGGUGUCUCUUGCCUCAAUUACAAGUGAGUUUGGUCGCAAUGAAAGAAUCAAGAAAGAAGAAAGCAAUCCAAGCGCAAGAGCUCGAAAGAACACAAGCAAAUCACUCUCUCUAGUCACUAUGGCGUUGUGUGGAAUUUGGAGAGGAUUUGAUCUCUUUGGUGUGUCUAGAAUUGAAUGCUAGAGUUCUUGUAGUAGUUGGGAAGUGGAAAACUUGGAUGCCAUGAAUGGUGGGGUGGUUGGGGUAUUUAUAGCCCCAACCACCAAAAGUGGUCGUUGGGAGGCUGUCUGUUCGAUGGCGCACCGGACAUGUCCGGUGCCCCCGCCACGUCAUCAAUGCCGUUGGAUUCUGACCGUUGGAGCUUCUGACUUGUGGACCCGCCAGGAUGUCCGGUGCACACCGGACAUGCACUGUUCCUUGUCCGGUGCGCCAGUAUGGGCGCGCCUGACUUCUGCACGCGCUGCGCGCGCAUUAAUUGCGUCGCAGGUAGCCGUUGGCGCCGAAUAGCCGUUGCUCUGGAGUUGCACCGGACAGUCCGGUGCACACCGGACAUGUCCGGUGAAUUAUAGCGGACUAGCCGUUGGAGAUUCUCGAAGCUGGCGAGUUCCUGAGGCCGCUCUUCCUUGGUGCACCGGACACUGUCCGGUGUACACCGGACAGUCCGGUGAAUUAUAGCGCGAGUGCCUCUGGAAAUUCCCGAAGGUGGCGAGUUUGAGUUGGAGUCCUCUGGUGCACCGGACAGGUCCGGUGGUGCACCGGACACUGUCCGGUGGCACACCGGACAGUCCGGUGCGCCAGACCAGAGGUGCCUUCGGUUGGCCCUUUGCUCUUUUGUUGAACCCAACUCUUGAUCUUUUUAUUGGCUAAGUGUGAACCUUUAGCACCUGUAUAACUUAUACACUAGAGCAAACUAGUUAGUCCAAUUGUUUGUGUUGGGCAAUUCAACCACCAAAAUUAUUUGAGAACUAGGUGUAAGCCUAAUUCCCUUUCAGCAGCGCCUUCCAGGAGGUUCUUGAGCUCCCCCUGGAUUCGCCGACCCUUGGUGGUGGAUGGCUCCGGCAUCGCGCGGAGAAGCAUCGCUGCUGCAGCCAGGUUCUGGCCGACCCCACUAGAUGCGGGUGGCGGCCUGACCCUGACGUCAUCGGCGACGCGGUGCUGGAAGCCCUGGGGCAGAUGACGUAUUUCUCCGGCCGGGGGUUGGCCCGCCCAUGCCUGCCCAACGUCCCGGCGGAUCGGCUCAAGCGCUCCUGUUCCCUCAUCGAGCCUGGCCUGCACCCCGCGGAUUUGCUCGAGCUGUGGGUCAUGGCCCCCCGCCUGAACGGGGACCACAGCUAGCUCCCGUGGGAUGUCAACGCGGGGCACCGGCCUAGGGAGAUCACCGUCCUCCGGCAUGCCGAGAUGAUUGCCUUCGGAGGGACCCCCUAGAUCGACGUGGAAACAUUCGCGGCUUGGGCCGCAGUCCUCGUCGUCGAGGCUGCGGCUACCGUCGGAACAGUCGGAGAGGAAGUAGUCACAUGCGGUCAUGAAGUCCUGCAUGGCACUAGGGUUGCCAAGUCCGGAGAAAUCCCAACAGAUGCUGGGCUCGUCGUCUUCCUCGGACCCAGAGGGCCCGUAGGUCGAGACGUCCGUCAGCCGGUCCCAAGGCGACCGCAUGCGAAACCCCAGAGGGUUUGAACUCGCCUCUACGAGAGCGCCCGCCAAAGCAAGGUCGCUAGGCGGGUUGAGGCUGAAUCCAAAUGACGUAGGAUGGGAAUCGGUCGGUACCUUUUGGUCGACGAGCGGCGAUGAAGUCACGUCGGGGACUGACUGCACCGUCGUCUCAGGUACGAGGGUGACGCCCAGCAAGCUCUCCGCGAGCGCGCUGGCGUCGUCCGCUUGCUCGGGAUUGGCGUGUUGCGGGGAGACGACGCUCGUCUUCGUCUCAGGCGCGAAGUCGAUACCCGGUGCGCCCCUCGUUGGGGUGCCGAUGCUGUCGGCUCGCUCGACAGCCAACGAGGCGCUGCCUCCUGCUUGGCCUUGGCUGCCCCGCCUUCCCCUCCGUCGGUGGGGAAGAAGGCGGGACGAGGUCGAGAGUUGUUCUUCCACCACGCGGGGAAGACGUCGUCGAUUUCGCCGCCGGCGGGCGGGCUGUCGGUCGCCAUUGUCGCUGUCGCACGGCGGUGGAAGGAGUAUCAUGUCGUAGCUGCCGUCGAAUGACAUGAACUCAAGACUCCCGAAACGGAGCACCGUCCUGGGUCGGAGAGGUUGCUGGAGACUGCCCAUCUGGAGCUUGACGGGAAGCUGUUCGUCAACACGCAACAGGCCCCUACCUGGCGCGCCAACUGUCGGCGUUUCGAGACCGGGGGGUCCCUUGGGCCGACGAGUGAGUGUCGCCGCGUGCCCCAGCCCAGAUGGGUCGAGCGCGAGGGCGAGCGCGAAGGGGGGAGAAGCGAGGCUGUCGGAGACCGGCGUGAGAGAGGUGGGAAUCCCGCGGCCUUCGUGUUCGUCCCGCGCCCAGGUCGGGUGCGCUUGCAGUAGGGGGUUACAAGCGUCCACGCGGGAAAGGGAAGCGAGCGCCUGUCUCGUCCUCGUCCCCGCGCGGCCAACCCUCUCUAAGAGGGCCCUGGUCCUUCCUUUUAUAGGCGUAAGGAGAGGAUCCAGGUGUACAAUGGGGGGUGUAGCAGAGUGCUACGUGUCUAGCGGGGGAGAGCUAGCGCCCUAAGUACAUGCCGAUGUGGCAGCCGGAGAGAUUUUGGCACCCAGCUGGUGUGAUGUCGUGGCCGUCGGAGGAGCGACGGAGCCUGGCGGAGGGACAGCUGUCGGAGCGGUUGGGUCCUUGCUGACGUCCUCUUGCUUCCGUAAGGGGGGUGAGAGCCGCCGUCAUCACAGAGUAUGCGGGGCGCCAUCAUUGCCUAUCUGGCGGAGCUAGCCAGAUGGGACACCGGUCUUGUACCCUGCGGCCCGAGUCAGCUCGGGGUAGGGUGAUGAUGACGCUUCCUGUUGACGUGGCUGGCCUACGCCCUAGGUUGGGCGAUGUGGAGGCUCCUCCGAAGCCGAGGUCGAGUCUGUCUUCCAUGGCCGAGGCCGAGUCCGAGCCCCUGGGUCGGGCGAGGCGGAGGUCGUCGGCAGAGGCCAGGGCGGAGUCCGAGCCCUGGGUCGGGCGGAGUGGAGUUCGCCGUCUUCCGGGACUUAGCCCGAGUCCGAGCCCUGGGUCGGGCGGAGCGGAGUUUGCCGUCUCCCGGGACUUAGCCCGAGUCCGAGCCCUGGGUCGGGCGGAGCGGAGUUCGCCGUCUUCCGGGACCUAGCCCGAGUCCGAGCCCUGGGUCGGGCGAAGCGGGGCUUCCUAUGGUGCCUUUGGCAGGGCCUGACUGCCUGUCAGUCUCACUCUGUCAAGUGGUACUGCAGUCGGAGUGGCGCAGACGGCGCUGUCCUUCUGUCAGGCCGGUCAGUGGAGCGGCGAAGUGACGGCGGUCACUUCGGCUCUGCCGGGGGGCGCGCGUCAGGAUAAAGGUGUCAGACCACCUUUGCGUUAAAUGCUCCUGCGACUUGGUCGGUAGGUGCGGCGAUUUAGUCAGGGUUGCUUCUUAGCGAAGGCAGGGCCUCGGGCGAGCCGGAAAUAUGUUCGCCGUUGGAGGGGGGCCUCGGGCGAGACGGAAAUCCUCCGGGGUCGGCUGCCCUUGUCCGAGGCUAGGCUCGGGCGAGGCGUGAUCGAGUCGCUCGAAUGGACUGAUCCCUGACUUAAUCGCACCCAUCAGGCCUUAGCAGCUUUAUGCUGAUGGGGGUUACCAUCUGAGAAUUAGGAGUCUUGAGGGUACCCCUAAUUAUGGUCCCCGACAGGUAUAUACUUACAUUUAGUAACUACUAAUAAAACUUAACCAACUUACUAAAAGCAAUGCUCAGCUUUAACCCUUAUUUGUUGAUCAGCCUUACACUUCACAUGAACUCUCACCUUUGGUGAGUUCAUGCACACUAUUCCCCACAACUUGUUGAGCUAUGAUCUUUUAUGAACUCACUCUUGUGAUAUAUAACCCCCCAUAGGUGAAGAGCAGGUGGUCCAAGAGGAGUCCUACAACGAGG
RNAcentral lists this long non-coding RNA (40229 nucleotides) under Zea mays. RNAcentral's name for it is "long non-coding RNA (ZMAY_LNC001218)". Lineage: Eukaryota; Viridiplantae; Streptophyta; Magnoliopsida; Poales; Poaceae. The record is from RNAcentral.